UAAGGAAUAUUGGUCAAUGGACGCAAGUCUGAACCAGCCAUGCCGCGUGAAGGAUGAAGGUCCUCUGGAUUGUAAACUUCUUUUAUCUGGGACGAAAACGGGAUUUUUAUCUCAAUUGACGGUACCAGAGGAAUAAGCACCGGCUAACUCCGUGCCAGCAGCCGCGGUAAUACGGAGGGUGCGAGCGUUAUCCGGAUUUACUGGGUUUAAAGGGUGCGUAGGUGGGCUUAUAAGUCAGUGGUGAAAUCUCCGAGCUUAACUUGGAAACUGCCGUUGAUACUAUAGGCCUUGAAUUAUCUGGAGGUAAGCGGAAUAUGUCAUGUAGCGGUGAAAUGCUUAGAUAUGACAUAGAACACCAAUUGCGAAGGCAGCUUACUACAUAUAAAUUGACGCUGAGGCACGAAAGCGUGGGGACCAAACA
This 421-nucleotide ribosomal RNA is filed under the name uncultured bacterium. RNAcentral describes it as "bacterial SSU rRNA". It matches the Rfam family "Bacterial small subunit ribosomal RNA", at positions 355 to 774 of the family's 1533-position model. The record is from RNAcentral.